AUAAAAACUUAGUUGAGUUGAGUAUAACCUUUUAUUAGGGCCACAAAGGAUCACAAAAUAGCAAUUAUGACCUUAAUAAUGAUCUUGUAUCACUUGUUCUGUCACGGUGAUGCAGAUGCCAUUGCCAACAAAUCCCAAAGUAUGUUACUAUAACAAGUAGUCAAGUACAGACUUGAGCCAUCCAUCAUACAAAAUGACAGCACUUUAUUAUCAUGUACCCAUGUCUGACAAUGUUAAACUAGCAUGUGUACAAAAGGCAGUAAAUCAAAAAAUCAUACAGAAAUAUGCAUGCAAAUGAGGACAAAAGUCACUGAACACUUUCUACCGACCACGUCUGGAUCUGAAAAAGAGUUGGUUGUCCAAGGUUAGCCAAGAUAGUUAACGUUGUUCCUUUCUAUAACAGGAGAGGGGUUCAUUGAGAAAUAUUGAUAUAAUGCCAAAAAUCAAUGUUCAUAAAAAGAACAAUUUUACAUUUGAUUCCACUCACACAGAUGCAGAAAAGUCAUAGCACCCAAAGCUUAUUUCCAUCUCACUAUUUUCAGAAAAUCUAUUGCAAAAUCCAAAACACAUACUGAAAUCAGGAUAAAUAAUUCAAAUAUUUGAAACAUGCCAAGUUCCAACAAUUAAUAAGAUUGUUUCAUCCAGGCUCCAGCACAUCAAUGCUGCAGACAAUCUUGGCAAUAACACAAGCAUCUACUCCCUAUCCCAAAAAAAAGUACAUAAAGAAAAAAGAGAUGGAAGAAGAAUAUGUAAAGGUUUUUGUUUAUGUUCUAUAGUGACGAUCACGCAAAAGACUCCUUAAAACCUCAUGCUGCCAAAAUAUCCUUCAGACCAAAUCUGACUUCAUCUCGCUGAUGAGUGUACCAAUAAAAUCAGGGACGCUAUCGCUAUUAAGCUCGAGCCAAAUACCAUACAAUGACAACCAUGUAGAUAUGUCAAUCAAAACAAAUAACAGUCAGAAGCACAACCAGCAAAUGUGCAUGGCACAGUUCAUAUAGUAGGAAACAAAAUCACAUCCUUAAACUGUAAGAUCAAAAGAAACGAAAUAGUACCUUGGCCUCGUCCUGCUCAACAG
RNAcentral lists this unclassified non-coding RNA (1075 nucleotides) under Hevea brasiliensis (rubber tree). Lineage: Eukaryota; Viridiplantae; Streptophyta; Magnoliopsida; Malpighiales; Euphorbiaceae. The record is from RNAcentral.